AAGACCUUGCGCUUUUGGAGCGGCCGAUGCCUGAUUAGCUUGUUGGUAAGGUAAAAGCUUACCAAGGCUUCGAUCAGUAGCUGGUCUGAGAGGACGGCCAGCCACACUGGGACUGAGACACGGCCCAGACUCCUACGGGAGGCAGCAGUGGGGAAUUUUGGACAAUGGGGGCAACCCUGAUCCAGCCAUGCCGCGUGAGUGAAGAAGGCCUUCGGGUUGUAAAGCUCUUUCAGCCGGAACGAAACGGUUACGGUUAAUACCCGUGAUUACUGACGGUACCGGAAGAAAAAGCACCGGCUAACUACGUGCCAGCAGCCGCGGUAAUACGUAGGGUGCGAGCGUUAAUCGGAAUUACUGGGCGUAAAGCGUGCGCAGGUGGUUUUGUAAGUCAGAUGUGAAAUCCCCGGGCUCAACCUGGGAACU
Molecule: ribosomal RNA, 423 nt
Filed under: uncultured bacterium
Lineage: Bacteria
Description: bacterial SSU rRNA
Rfam family: Bacterial small subunit ribosomal RNA
Source: RNAcentral